CGUCGCGUGCAGCUUGCAUGCCUGCAGGUCGACGAUUUUCUGGUUGAUCCCGCCGGACCCUACUGCUAUCGGGUGGAGACUAAACCAUGCGAGUUAAGCGUCUCCUAGCCAUGUUGGAGACGCAGCGUACGGCUCAGUAGCACGUAGUUAAUCUGCCCUUGGGACGGGGAUAACCCUGGGAAACUGGGACUAAUACCUGAUAGGUGCAGAGGCCUGGAAUGGUUCUGCACUGAAAAGGCUUCAAGAACAUGCUUUUGGAGUUGCCCAAGGAUGAGACUGCGGCCGAUCAGGUUGUUGGUGGGGUAACGGCCCACCAAGCCUAUAACCGGUACGGGCUCUGAGAGGAGGGGCCCGGAGAUGGGAACUGAGACAAGGUCCCAGGUCCUACGGGGCGCAGCAGGUGCGAAAACUCCACAAUGCGCGAAUGCGUGAUGGGGUUAACCCGAGUGCCAUCCGAUGAGGAUGGCUUUUCCUCAGUUUAAGGAGCUGGGGGAAUAAAGGGGGGGCAAGUCUGGUGUCAGCCGCCGCGGUAAUACCAGCCCCCUGAGUGGUAGGGACGAUUAUUUGGCCUAAAGCGUCCGUAGCCGGCUUAGCAAGUCUUUCGUUAAAUCCGACGAUUUAAUCGCCGGGCCGCGGAAGGUACUACUAGGCUUGAGGACGGGAGAGGUUGACGGUAGUCCCAGGGUAGGGGUGAAAUCCUAUAAUCCUGGGAGGACCACCAGUGGCGAAGGCGGUCGACUAGAACGUGCCUGACGGUGAUGGACGAAAGCUGGGGGAGCGAACCGGAUUAGACACCCGGGUAGUCCCAGCUGUAAACGAUGCGGGCUAGGUGUUGGGGUAGCUACGAGCUACUCCAGUGCCGCAGAGAAGUCGUUAAGCCCGCCGCCUGGGAAGUACGGCCGCAAGGCUGAAACUUAAAGGAAUUGGCGGGGGAGCACCACAAGGGGUGAAGUC
Molecule: ribosomal RNA, 954 nt
Filed under: uncultured archaeon
Lineage: Archaea
Description: bacterial SSU rRNA
Rfam family: Archaeal small subunit ribosomal RNA
Source: RNAcentral